This 775-nucleotide long non-coding RNA is filed under the name Zostera marina. RNAcentral's name for it is "long non-coding RNA (ZMAR_LNC002590)". The record is from RNAcentral. Lineage: Eukaryota; Viridiplantae; Streptophyta; Magnoliopsida; Alismatales; Zosteraceae.
UUGGACGGAGGCUGCUUCCAGGUCGGGAGGGGGUACUUCGAUCAGUUCGUGUUCGUUGAAGAUGGUGAAGCUGAUGUUUGUUUCUACAGUAUCGCAACGGAUGCGCCGGUUGUCGGUGCGAUUGAGAUCGUUGGAGUCGAUUGAGGACGCACUUCAUUAUUUUACUUCUUCCCUUUCUUUAUUUUCAAUAUCAUUUUUUCACAGGGGUUCCAAAGAAGCAGAAGAGAAGAAUGCAAAAGACGACACAGCAUCUCCUUCAUCUGUGUUAGGGUUGGGAUUGGGAAUGGGAUUUACCUUCCCCUGGGAGAGUUGAAAGGGAUACUAAGAGGAGACAGAAUACCUUAGAGUUAGAGUUGGAUUUCGUUGGGAUACUAAUUCGUUGGAAAUUAAUCAAGCAAACUUGUUCAAGGAAAUACACCCGCCAUAUCAUGAACACAAGAACACGCAGGAAUAAUCAAUCAAUCAAUAUUCAUGUUUCAGUUUUAAACUUUUAAUUGCACCCACUCAUCGGAAGGAAUACUGAAUUUCUUCCAGAGUUCUUCCUUUGGUUUCCGGAACCCACAGACCCACAAACAGAAUUGUAAAAACCGUCACAGUUGUAUAAAUGAUAAAAGUCUCAAAAAAAUCUAACCAUUACCUUUUUAAUCGCAUCAAUGAAAAUUUAAAUUAAUUGUAAAAUAGAAUAAAAAAUAUAAGUGGUUAUUUUUAACUCCAAAUCGAUUAUAAGUGGUUGUAUAUUUCGCAAUUUUCCUUCUAUAUUUCUCAUCAAUCGAUU